This 242-nucleotide unclassified non-coding RNA is filed under the name Hevea brasiliensis (rubber tree). The record is from RNAcentral. Lineage: Eukaryota; Viridiplantae; Streptophyta; Magnoliopsida; Malpighiales; Euphorbiaceae.
UAUCAAGCUACAUUGCUUAUGGUGCUAUUGGUAUAUGUUGCAUGCAAAUGAAAUUUUAUACAAUACCACAUACCAGAUACCUUGAGGAUUUGGAAGAAUCUGUAAAUUCUGGAGAUACUCCAAUAUUAUUAACAAUGAGAAGAGACAAACAAAAACACAAAUCAAAACAGUGACGCAUAAAAAAACUUCCAACAAUUUCACUACAAUAUACAGAAAAAAACAUGUCGGAAAAGAAAGGAGAA